GUUUAUUAUAAAUUAAAUUAUGCAUCAUUUUACACCGUUUUAAGAAUUUGUGGAAUUUGUUUUCGUAUUAAUAGGCAUUUGAGUACACUAUUUAAAGAUCAUAUCUUAAAAUGACUGGUUUAUUGUUGUCCAAAUGCACAUGUUCAAGUUUUUUUUUUUAAAUAACUAUUGACCUGGAGAGUCUAGAGAAUUGUACUGAGAGAAUAGUACACAUUUAGAUACAGAUAUUUUAAUAAAUGAUAGAUUUUAUGCUAUGUAUGGUAGGUAAUAUGAAUCCAAAAUCAAACCCUGUAAAAAAAAAAGAAAUGUAUUAUUCAUCUGAAAUAUUAUUAAUAUUAUUUUGAGUUAAAUAAAUAAAAUAAAAUACUAACUGCAAGUCUUCUCUUUGUUACAUAAUUUUCAGAUUUACCAGUAAUCAUAACGUGUAUUUAUUAUUCCAUCCACUAGAGGGAGUGUGAUUUAUUGUUAGACAGAACGUCUUCCUGUUUCCCGGAAAGGAAACCAUUUUUCUCAACUUGCAAAACAAGUUUUGUGUUGCAGAAGACUUGCAGAAACGAGAUUUGAGAUGCCUCGGACGAAGCAGUCUCAGCGUUCUCAGGCAGCCAAGAAGAGAAUCGUGAACCGGCUAGCUGCUAAUCCUGAAGAGAUCUUGCCACCUGUUAAAAAAAGAAAAGAAAUACAAGAGCCUGAUCCUACUUUUGCCAAUUGUUCCGAAUUUGCCGAUUGUUCCGAAUUUUCCGAUUGUUCCGAAUUUGCCAAAUAUUCCGAAUCUUACCCAAACUCUGACCCAAAGUCUGAUUCAGACGCUAAUUCAAAGUCUAUGCCAAAGUUUCCAAAAGAUGCUGAGAUGACUAUGCAUGCUGUUUCUUCUUUGUCUCCACAGACUUCCUAUAUCAGAGGCUCUUUCCAUCAAGGAGAUUACCGUUUUGGCUGGAAUAGGGGAAGCCAAUGUGGUGCAAACAGUUUAACUGCAAUUGUGAUGUGUAAGAUGAAAAGUGUGUUGCAGUGGACAAGAAGUGACCUGAAUGCUGUUUUGAUCCACGGAAAUGAGCUGUACAGUGCAAUGAGAGACGCAGGGAAGAUCAACGAUCCUGAAUCAGGCUUCAUAGCUGUUCAUGAGCUACCAGACACACACACUCUGAAAGAUUGUCAGUUUUCAAUAAACUAUGGUGAAACAUUGACUGGCUUGUUUGGUGUCAAUAAAUAUGAUGGUGAACUACGAGGGUAUGCAAUGUCAUUUGAUGAAGCAGUAAAUCGAGCAUUCCAGAGGUUUGAUGCAUGCUUAGUGAAUAUUAAGCUAACCAUAUGUGCAGCUGUCAGAGAAGGUUCCUGGUAUGCAGUGAUUGAUCCACAUUCAAGACGCUUUGAUGGCAGAUGUGUAGCUGACGGUAAGAGUGUAGUGGUUUACCAUCGUGACUUGCAUUCUCUGAUUGUUCAUUUCCGGAAACUCGCUGCGUCUAUUAAUGCACGUUACCAUGAGUUUGAGGUAACUGGGGUCAAUGCAGUU
This is a long non-coding RNA of Cyprinus carpio carpio, 1507 nucleotides long. NCBI's taxonomy places the organism in Eukaryota, Metazoa, Chordata, Actinopteri, Cypriniformes, Cyprinidae. The record is from Ensembl.